GACGAACGCUGGCGGCGUGCCUAGUACAUGCAAGUAGAACGCUGAAACUUGGUGCUUGCACCGAGCGGAUGAGUUGCGAACGGGUGAGUAACGCGUAGGUAACCUGCCUGGUAGCGGGGGAUAACUAUUGGAAACGAUAGCUAAUACCGCAUAAGAGUAGAUGUUGCAUGACAUUUGCUUAAAAGGUGCAAUUGCACCACUACCAGAUGGACCUGCGUUGUAUUAGCUAGUUGGUGGGGUAACGGCUCACCAAGGCGACGAUACAUAGCCGACCUGAGAGGGUGAUCGGCCACACUGGGACUGAGACACGGCCCAGACUCCUACGGGAGGCAGCAGGAGGGAAUCUUCGGCAAUGGACGGAAGUCUGACCGAGCAACGCCGCGUGAGUGAAGAAGGUUUUCGGAUCGUAAAGCUCUGUUGUAAGAGAAGAACGAGUGUGAGAGUGGAAAGUUCACACUGUGACGGUAUCUUACCAGAAAGGGACGGCUAACUACGUG
RNAcentral lists this ribosomal RNA (497 nucleotides) under uncultured bacterium. Its description in RNAcentral is "partial 16S ribosomal RNA". It matches the Rfam family "Bacterial small subunit ribosomal RNA", at positions 28 to 507 of the family's 1533-position model. The record is from RNAcentral.